Gossypium raimondii (Peruvian cotton) is the source of this 1144-nucleotide long non-coding RNA. RefSeq lists it as uncharacterized. The record is from RefSeq and is a predicted model, not a curated record. The transcript has 2 exons. Lineage: Eukaryota; Viridiplantae; Streptophyta; Magnoliopsida; Malvales; Malvaceae.
UUACCAUUUGAUAACCUAGUUCUCGUUUUGCUUAUAGGAGUCCCUCACCUGAAAGGAUCUUUAGGGAUACUCCACCCGCUACUCCGAGGGGUAAUCUAUUUGUUACUCUUCCUCGGAGGCAUCCUCAUUUUGGAAGCGCUCCUUUUGACACGUCAACUUAGAAUAUUCCUUCCAGAAAGGCUCAUUCCAUCACUCUUUUACCCACUGUACAAUUUCCCUCUCACAUUACUAAAGGUGCUAAUGGGAGUGAGCAUCCGGAUGGUUUGCACAAAUUUGUUUCUGUUCCUUUGGAGGCUCCCAUUCGGAAGGAAGCAAGGCGCAACUCUUUUGAAGUUGCUGGAUUUAGCCUAGCAAUCGUGCCUUACCUUGGUGCUAAUCAAGCCACUAGGACUUCUUACACGCCCCUGGAUGGCUUUCAAUAAGGUAAUCAUUUGGUCUAGUAGAACUUGGUUGGUAUGAGGCAACAAUACCAAUAAUAAAUGGGGACCUUACGGGGGUCCAGAGUGAAAAUGCAUGUUUGAAAGAGAAGAAUGCCCAACUUCGGUUAUGUGCUGAACUAGCAAAAAAAUGACAAGCUUAGUUGCUAGAAGAUAAGAAAAGGCUACGAAGAGCUUUGGUGGACCGAGACAUCGAAGUGAAAGGCCUAAGCCUUCAGUUAAAACAUAUAUGUGUGGCCUAGGAGAAAGACCGAAAAAGAUAGGAGGAUGCUCAAGUAACUGUUCUGAGUUCUGACUAUUAUCGUAGAUCGGGUCAUGCUAGCCAUGCAAGUGGCAUUUGGUCCCAUUUACACUCAUGGAAUGAAUUUUAGGCCUUUUUUCGAUCUGAUUAGGUGUGGCUGUCGGCUUGAUUUUUACAUCAACUACCCAUUUGAAGACAAUUGUCAUUACUUUCGCCAGGAGAUGAGGCAUUUUGUUUUCUUUGGGAAGUCCUCCCGGAGCAACCCUUUUGAAGUGAAACUUGGAGGCAUGCGUCUACUCUGGAUGGUUUGGAAGAAGGAGAGGAAAAUAGGCUUGUAGGUGAGGAGUCAAGUCUUUAAGCUUCCUAGUCGGAGCAUUCACUAUCUGAGGAUAAAGACAAUGCCUCUUUGUAAAUGCUUUUAUAAUUUGUAAUUUUUGAAAAUAUUAAUAAAAUUUUACUUUUGUAA